CGUCAGCUCGUGUCGUGAGAGUGUUCGGGUUAAGUCCCGUAACGAGCGCAACCCUUGUCCUUAGUUACCAGCACGUUAUGGUGGGCACUCUAAGGAGACUGCCGGUGACAAACCGGAGGAAGGUGGGGAUGACGUCAAGUCAUCAUGGCCCUUACGGCCUGGGCUACACACGUGCUACAAUGGUCGGUACAAAGGGUUGCCAAGCCGCGAGGUGGAGCUAAUCCCAUAAAACCGAUCGUAGUCCGGAUCGCAGUCUGCAACUCGACUGCGUGAAGUCGGAAUCGCUAGUAAUCGUGAAUCAGAAUGUCACGGUGAAUACGUUCCCGGGCCUU
This 332-nucleotide ribosomal RNA is filed under the name uncultured Pseudomonas sp. Its description in RNAcentral is "bacterial SSU rRNA". It matches the Rfam family "Bacterial small subunit ribosomal RNA", at positions 1053 to 1382 of the family's 1533-position model. The record is from RNAcentral. Lineage: Bacteria; Pseudomonadati; Pseudomonadota; Gammaproteobacteria; Pseudomonadales; Pseudomonadaceae.